Molecule: ribosomal RNA, 476 nt
Filed under: uncultured bacterium
Lineage: Bacteria
Description: bacterial SSU rRNA
Rfam family: Bacterial small subunit ribosomal RNA
Source: RNAcentral
ACUCCUACGGGAGGCAGCAGUGGGGAAUAUUGCACAAUGGGCGCAAGCCUGAUGCAGCCAUGCCGCGUGUAUGAAGAAGGCCUUCGGGUUGUAAAGUACUUUCAGCAGUGAGGAAGGUGGGUAUGUUAAUAGCAUACUCAUUUGACGUUAGACUGCAGAAGAAGCACCGGCUAACUCCGUGCCAGCAGCCGCGGUAAUACGGAGGGUGCGAGCGUUAAUCGGAAUUACUGGGCGUAAAGCGCAUGCAGGUGGUUUGUUAAGUCAGAUGUGAAAGCCCGGGGCUCAACCUCGGAAUUGCAUUUGAAACUGGCAAACUAGAGUACUGUAGAGGGGGGUAGAAUUUCAGGUGUAGCGGUGAAAUGCGUAGAGAUCUGAAGGAAUACCGGUGGCGAAGGCGGCCCCCUGGACAGAUACUGACACUCAGAUGCGAAAGCGUGGGGAGCAAAACAGGAUUAGAUCCCCCUGGUAGGCUCUGC